CCUGCCCCGGUUUGGGAGUCGGCUUCCUGCGAAGCGCUGACUGAAGGCGUCAGACCGAGGCCCCGGGAGGAAACAGACUUCGGGAACAAGGCUAGCACCAGAGGCUGCGCGCCCCGGGCAUGGCCCCUGUCGGUGGGACCCGAGACGCCUUGUUGUGACGAGGUCCCUUCGUGCAGAGGCCUGGAGUGAUGCUAGUUCAUCAGCGCCUACAUGGAAUGGAGCUGUUCCAGUUGGCUACAGCCACGCUCCAAAGACAACCUUUCACCCCUAGAGAGGUGAUUAAUGGUGUUUAAGAGGGGAUGUGGGAGUAUGGCAGCAGAACAUCAGUUUCCAAAGUUGGAAUUCAAUCCCGAGUGAAUACACCCAAGAGUGUACAAAACAAAAAAUCAGCAAAACAUAGCAAGGACUCCACAGGCUUCCAAAUUCAAGACAAGUCAUUGACAACCUUCUUCUCAAUAGCAGGUCUCAGCAGCUGCAGGUCAGACCACAAAAGUGCCCCAGAAUGAUCAUCCCACCACAUUCUGUCUUUCUGAUUAUGACACCUUAUAGUCAGCGCUCCCAUCUAGGAUUAAAUUUUUAAAAUAAUCACAAUGUGGAGACUGUUGCUUGCCUGCCUCAUUAAAGCUGGCCUCUGGCAGGGGGGCAGGCCCUUUCAAAUUCAAACUAUGACUUCUAGAAUUCAAAUCACAGUGUUGGGUUUCCAGUUCAACCUGUGGUUUUUGAGAGGCUGAUUAUUUUUUGUUAAGACCCUUAUCCCCCACCCGCAGAACUCUCAGAAGAGUAAGGGGAAAAAAAGGUAAUAAAACACAAGGAAUUCCUUCAGGGAAGGAAACUUCCUCCAGAAGACCCUCAAACCAGGGAUGCUUCUUAGCUCUUUUCUUUUUAAGCUAGAAUCUCUCAAAACCACAAUUUGAACUUGCAACCACAAUUUUCCUGACACUGUAUCAAAGGCUGGUCUUAAAGGAGCCACCAAUAUGCCUAGUAUCAACCCUACUCCACCGUGGGGACAGAGCAGCCUUUCUUCCCACCGGAUCACUGAGAGAAACGUGGUCCCAGACAUUGGCCCACCAAGCUGAAAAGAAGACAGGCUUUGUUUGCCAGACAGAAGAGUGAAUCCCAUAUGUGCCCUACUCCUGCUGUAUUCUCAAACCAAAAGCACCAAAGGUUCACUUGAUUAGAUCAGAGGAAACAAAAUGAGGGUCCAAAGGGCAUGUGGCAACAAGCAGCUGGGAGGUACAUGAGGAGCUACUAGGUGGCCUGGGGGCUAGAUGACUGGACACUGCACACAGAGCUGGCUAUAAAACCAGGAAAGGCAGUCCAGGCAACCCCCAGGCCCAGCAGGUUACCGACAGAGGCAAGUAAGAAUCAAAUGGUGUCAAGGACAACCAAAAAGACCAGUGAAUUUCUAAGCCCAUCAUCCUUGGGAUCCCAUCAAACAAUCACGUGAUGAAGAAGAGGUAUAGAUGUCUUCACUUUCACUACUUGAAAAGAGCUGUUCUAACAGCAAGGGCAAGUGAAUGCAACAACUGCCAUAAAAGGGAGGAUACUGCCUAAGUUCGCAGUAAAUUAAGAAUAGUUAACCUGGAGUCCUGGAUAGCUGGGCAGGGUGAAUAAAAGCAAAAACAAAUGUACCUUUCUUCUUAUAUUCUAC
Molecule: long non-coding RNA, 1651 nt
Filed under: Homo sapiens (human)
Lineage: Eukaryota; Metazoa; Chordata; Mammalia; Primates; Hominidae
Description: HSALNT0175811
Source: RNAcentral